Molecule: long non-coding RNA, 1301 nt
Filed under: Numida meleagris (helmeted guineafowl)
Lineage: Eukaryota; Metazoa; Chordata; Aves; Galliformes; Numididae
Description: lncRNA (ENSNMEG00000006854.1)
Source: RNAcentral
CCAGCCAAGCCUUGCCCAUGUUGGGGUGCGGACACCGGUGAUGCUAAGGGCCGGGACUUUUGGUCUCCCCGUGGGCACCAGCCUCAGCACAAUUAGACCUCAGACUGCAACAUCCAAAAAUCCAGGCCUUAUAGGAUUCCUUAUAGACCCCCUGAGUCAACCAGAUAUCCACCCUCCCAAGAAGUUGGACCCCAUGGCAAGAGAAUCCCAGUGGGCUGAGAAGCGGGUGAAACAGAAUGAAAAUUCCUCUCCUCUCCCUCCCUCCCCCCCUUUUUUUUUUUUUUUUUUUUUUUUUUUGAUGACGAAAGGCUUCUGAGCGAGGAUGUUUAUCAGAACGCUUGUUUUGCAAAUCUGAGACCAGCAGACCCCUGUGUUACACUGCAGCUGCUAUUUAAGGAGAUAUUUCAGCAAGAGAUCAGGAAGGGUUGGAGCAACUCAGCUCACGCUUUCCUAGCAGAUUUGGGCAGAAACCCCCCUUGCCCCCUGUGUCAUUUACCUGCCUCCCAUGGCCCUUACCUGCAUGCUUUGCCCCUCACACCCACCAGCACGCUGGCAUGGUGCCUGGCACACAGGAACGCUGACAGAUGGCGGGGCUGAAGGGACGCGGGCUGGCGGACAAACACUGCUGCUCCGGCAGCUGGAACAACGGUAGCACAAACGAAACACGAGCAAUUUCCUCCCUGCCAGCAAAGAAAAUAGCUGCAGGGAGAAGACAGGGAGGAUAACUGUCAGCCUGCUCGAGGUAUCAUGGGAGUAGGGGCAUAAUCCCAGCAUAAACAACAGCGUCUUAAUCUUGGUACAGAGUAAAGCCCCACAAAAGCCAGCGCUGUGCGAUUGCUGAAUCAGCCAUCCCACUGCCCACCUCUCCCCGACCUUUCCUUGUACAUGAUUGCGGCACGCAGGGGCUGCACUGUCACCAGCGGGCUGGGAGUGGAGGGUGACUCUGUCACAGUGCUGUGCAGAGAGGACAAAUGCUUCACAUUCCUGCUGCUCUCUCCUCCGCUGAAGAUGCUGAUUGUUGCUGCAGUGAAAUUCCUCCAGCUCUCUCGGGACUCAGCCCAGGCUCUGACUGCCUUCAGGAACUUAUUUUCCCUUUUGCCAUGGUUAAAAUCUGCUGCAGAUAUAUACCAUGCGCCGCUGGCCUGACUGUGUGUUUCCAAAGCUUUUGUAGCAGUGGUCGGAGCAGCUCCUGGCUCUCGCAGCAAGGCAAACAGGGAUAUCCAUGAUGCCCAAAGAGCGGGACCAGAAGCUCUGCGCAGAAGCCUUGUAAUCCUCAAUAAAGUCCAAAUCCUGUAAAUACA